CCAGGGGACCGUAAUAAACGCCAUCACUGCGAACGAUCCCCCAAUCGUCACUAUUCUGCAGAACCAGACAGAGAUAGUCGGUUUCUUCGGUAGAGUGUGGAAAAUCCUCGAGCAAAACAUGAAUUUCAGAACAAACUACACGAUCACAGGAGACCUGACAAAGGGCAAGCCGACGCAGAAGGGCGACUGCAGUGGUAUGAUCGGCG
This is a non-coding RNA of Zootermopsis nevadensis, 206 nucleotides long. NCBI's taxonomy places the organism in Eukaryota, Metazoa, Arthropoda, Insecta, Blattodea, Termopsidae. The record is from RefSeq and is a predicted model, not a curated record.